CGCGCUGCAUGCUGGGGGCGUAUUCUCGCGGGAUCGACUCACAGGCGUGGAGAGAUGAGGUUUCAGUACCCUUUAUCCUCCCAUAGUUAUGGAAGGUCCGGGUAGCGGGUUGUAUCAUUUCGGUGUCUGACGUCGGGGAGAAAGGGUUAUGGUUUGAAAUCCCUUGCUUUUUAAGCCUUUUAUAGUGUGCAAUGCCUACAAACGGUGUCGAUUCGUGUUUUGUGCUUGUAAAUUAGCGGGAAGGAAAAGGUGGACGGACUAUUUCCUUGGAAUUGCCCUGGAAUUAGAGUAGGUUCUUUUUUAAAGGUGCCCCGAGGGCAUACUUUCUAUGAAGAAGAUAAAAGGUCUUCUCUUGCUGAGAAAUUGGCAGAGCUGUGAAGUUCUGAGUGUGACCAGAAAAGGAACUUACCACUGCAUGAAUACCAAGAGAGAAAGAAACUACACAUUUCAGAGGGUUGAGUGGGGGCUCCCGCACACCUAAAACACCCGGAGAAAACAGGCAAUGAGGACUACUACAGCUCUACUCAGACACUUCUUUCAACCCAGCCUCUGGGUGCACACGUUAAGGGCCUUCGACUCAGCAGAAUCUUGAAAACUGGAGCAUGUAUCAGAAAGUGGAAAACCCAAGACCUACAGAGUCCCAAGAGAACAUGUCCAGCUGGUGGCCAAGGGGAUGGGGAGCCCCUGUCGGCUGUGCAUUGCCUGGUGCCCUUUACAGUUUGCACGCUGUCCCUCCUGGCCAGGAUUGCAAGCUACAUCAUAGGUUACGCAUGGAUUAUGUACAUAUUGACUAAUAAGAAAAUAAAUAGCACGUCUGAGAAAAAUACAUCACGCGGAGAAAGUAGGAUGAAGUCAUUACAACCAUCAAUGGCCAAGAGACUGGAGGAAGCAAACAUCGUCUGGUCAGGUGAAGUUUUUAUAAGAAGGCUCACGUUUCAAAUGCCUUCCUCCAGUAGGAAAUAAACAUUAAUAAUAAGGACUGAGAACAUUUCUGUGUAUUGUAGAAAAGCAGAGUAUAUAGAUAACCACACAUACCUCACAGUCUUGGAAAAUUAUGCAUUAUUUAGAAAAGGGAUUAAAAAUAUCUCCAACUUGCAAGUGUUCAACCUCUCACCCCUUGGGAUUGCACAGGGAGGGUGCUGAUAUCCUUUUCCACUGCUUCAUGGUCUCUGAGGAACAGACCCAUGGCAUUAGUCAGCAGUUUCUGAAUGUUGACCCACAAUAGGAAAGAUACCUCGAGACAGGAAAAAUAGAUGGAGGCAAUUACAAACAGCUACUUGAUGGAUGGUUGACAUUGUCGGGGCUCCAGUGUAUGGCAGAUUGCGAUGGUGUUGAACUCCCCUUGCUACCAGUGGAUGUUGCUAUUGGCAACCGUGCAGUGAAGCCAAUAAAAAGGCAAGAAAAUGAGACGAAAGCUCA
RNAcentral lists this long non-coding RNA (1419 nucleotides) under Ursus maritimus (polar bear). RNAcentral describes it as "lncRNA (ENSUMAG00000016395.1)". The record is from RNAcentral. Lineage: Eukaryota; Metazoa; Chordata; Mammalia; Carnivora; Ursidae.